AGGUUACGACGGCCAGUGAUUAGAGUUUGAUCCUGGCUCAGGAUGAACGCUAGCGGCAGGCCUAAUACAUGCAAGUCGAACGGUAAAUGCCCCUUCGGGGGUAUGAGAGUGGCGCACGGGUGCGUAACGCGUAUGCAACCCACCCGCUGCCGGGGGAUAGCCCGGAGAAAUUCGGAUUAAUACCCCAUGAGGAGCGAGGAAGGCAUCUUCCACGUUUCAAAACUUCGGUGGCGGCGGACGGGCAUGCGUGCCAUUAGAUAGUUGGCGGGGUAACGGCCCACCAAGUCGACGAUGGCUAGGGGAUCUGAGAGGACGGUCCCCCACACUGGUACUGAGACACGGACCAGACUCCUACGGGAGGCAGCAGUAAGGGAUAUUGGUCAAUGGGGGGAACCCUGAACCAGCCAUGCCGCGUGAGGGAGGAAGGCCCUACGGGUCGUAAACCUCUUUUGCCGGGGGAUAAGGACGGGAACGUGUUCCCGUUUGAAGGUACCCGGAGAAUAAGCAUCGGCUAACUCCGUGCCAGCAGCCGCGGUAAUACGGAGGAUGCGAGCGUUAUCCGGAUUUAUUGGGUUUAAAGGGUGCGCAGGCGGGCGAUUAAGUCAGCGGUGAAAGGCUCGGGCUCAACCGGAGCAGUGCCGUUGAUACUGGUUGUCUUGAAUGCGGUCAAGGCCGGCGGAAUGUGGCGUGUAGCGGUGAAAUGCAUAGAUAUGCCACAGAACACCGAUAGCGAAGGCAGCUGGCCGGGCCUGCAUUGACGCUCAGGCACGAAAGCGUGGGGAUCGAACAGGAUUAGAUACCCUGGCAGUCCACGCUGUAAACGAUGGACACUCGUUGUCGGCGACAGACAGUCGGCGGCCAAGCGAAAGUGAUAAGUGUCCCACCUGGGGAGUACGGUCGCAAGGCUGAAACUCAAAGGAAUUGACGGGGGCCCGCACAAGCGGUGGAGCAUGUGGUUUAAUUCGAUGAUGCGCGAGGAACCUUACCCGGGUUAGAACGCACGCGACGACACAGAGAUGUGACGUCCUUCGGGACGCCUUGUGAGGUGCUGCAUGGUUGUCGUCAGCUCGUGCCGUGAGGUGUUCAGGUUU
RNAcentral lists this ribosomal RNA (1091 nucleotides) under uncultured bacterium. RNAcentral's name for it is "bacterial SSU rRNA". It matches the Rfam family "Bacterial small subunit ribosomal RNA", at positions 1 to 1082 of the family's 1533-position model. The record is from RNAcentral.